AUGCGAUGGGCCCUGAUUGUAUCCCCAUUGAGGUGUGGACAGAAGCAGCUGAAGCUAGUUUCAAUGAGAUUAAACAAAAAACUAUCACAAGCUCCUGUCUUGGUGUUACCUGAUUUCAACAAGACUUUUGAGUUGGAGUGUGAUGCAAGUGGAGUAGGCAUUGGAGCUGCCCUAUCUCAAGAAAGGAAGCCCAUUGCUUUCUUUAGUGAGAAGUUAAGUGAAGCUAGACAGAAAUGGAGUACCUAUCAGCAAGAAUUAUAUGCCGUUUUCAGAGCGUUGAAAACUUGGGAAGUCUAUUUGCUGCCUAAAGAAUUCAUUGUUUAUAGUGACCAUCAAUCCGUGAAGCAUUUUAGAAAUCAAAAGCAUGUUAACCGCAUGCUAGCAAGAUGGACAACAUAUCUGGAGAGGUUUAACUAUCUCAUCGUGCAUAAACCUGGAAUAACCAAUAGUGUGGCUGAUGCUUUGAGUCGUCGUGCAUGCCUCUUGACUUCUUUUGAAGCUGAACUUCUGGGCAUGGAUCAAAUAAAGGAGUUGUAUGAGGGUGACGAAGACUUUGGCCAUGUUUGGGUAAAGCACGGAAGGGGCCAACCAUUAGGUGAUGACUAUUUGAUGCAAGAUGGAUAUCUCUUCAAAAAUGAUUGUUUGUGCAUUCCAAGAAGUUCUCUACGUGACAAGUGGUUAGAGAGCUCCAUUCAAGUGAUCUUAGUUGGACGGGACAAGACUAUCGCUAGCCUGGAAGCUCGCCACUUUUGGCCACAACUAAAGAGAGAUGCUCGAAAGUUUGUUCAGCAAUGCCCUAUAUGUCAAACCUGCAAAGGCCAAGUCCAGAACACAGGGUUAUACGUGCCUUUGCCUGUUCCCGUCGCUCCAUGGGAGGACAUCUCUAUGGACUUCGUCUUGGGCUUGUCAAGAACAAGACGGGAGAGUGAUGCCGUGUUUGUGGUCGUGGACAGAUUCUCCAAGAUGGCUCAUUUCAUCCCAUGCCGCAAGACAACGCAUGCUCAUCAUGUGGCAAGCCUAUUCUUUCGAGAAGUGGACAGACUUCAUGGAGUUCCAAGGUCCAUCAUCUCAAACCGUGAUAGCAAGUUCCUUGCUGCAUUCUGGCUCACUUUGUGGAAGCAAUUCAACACUGAAUUGGAAUUUUCUAGCACUGCUCAUCCACAAACAGAUGGACAAAUGGAAGUGGUGAACAAGUUUUUGGGUAAUCUGAUCCGUUGCAUUUGUGGAGAAAGAAAGGGGCAAUGGGAUUUGGCUUUAUCUCUUGCAGAGUUCUCCUACAAUAACUCCAAGCAUAGAUCCAUAGGAAGGAGCCCUUUUUCCAUUAUCUACACUAAAGUUCCAACACAUGUGGUGGACCUGGUGAAACUACCAUCAAGGGGAAACUCAAAAUCAGCAUUGUCCUUUGCUGAUAAUUACACUGAGUUAUUUGAAGAGAUUCACGGUGCUUUGGAAGCACAAAAUCAGAAAUAUAAACAACUUGCUGAUUGCAAAAAGAGGCCAAAAUCAUUCCAAGUCGGUGAUAAGGUGAUGGUCUACUUCCGAAAAGAGAGGUUGCCUUUAGGUGUUAAAAGGGAAACUUAG
RNAcentral lists this ribosomal RNA (1581 nucleotides) under Triticum aestivum (bread wheat). Its description in RNAcentral is "partial small subunit ribosomal RNA". The record is from RNAcentral. Lineage: Eukaryota; Viridiplantae; Streptophyta; Magnoliopsida; Poales; Poaceae.